GUAUGUAAUGGUGCUGCUAUUUUGUGUCAAGCCACUGCCCCAGUCAGAACUGCCACCUCGCACCCGAGAGAUGAUGUCCUCCACUGCCAAGAUCUUGUUAUUUGUUUCUAUCAAGAGAAAGACAGCAUUAGCUUUCCUCUCCCCAAACCAAAGGACUGGGUGGGAUACUGACACCUGGAUCUCAGAUUACUGCUAAGUGGCAGUAAGGGUAAGUGGCAGAACUUACAUGGAAGAUCUGGCCACACACAGCAAACUUUUGGUGAACUUGACAGUAUGGACAACCCCUUACCAGGCUGAAGUUCACAGGACUACUGAUCCAGAAAGAGCUUUGUCUCAGACACUGCACUCAAGGACCCUCAUUGGCAGCCUGGCCUGAUUGAUGGCAAGAUCCUGCACCUUGAACCUGAGCCUACCACCACACUGGGGUGAGGCUUUGUGGGAAGUGGGGAGUAUGGCAGGUGUGAGGAAAAAAAUGAAAACGAACUGUGGUCAGAGGGCAGACCACCAUGGUACUUUUAAAGCAUGUUGCUGAACCCAUUCAAACUCCUCCCUAAAGUGCCCGCUCCCUCCAUCUAGGGGG
Long non-coding RNA from Mesocricetus auratus (golden hamster), 580 nucleotides. RefSeq lists it as uncharacterized. The record is from RefSeq and is a predicted model, not a curated record. The transcript is spliced from 3 exons. NCBI's taxonomy places the organism in Eukaryota, Metazoa, Chordata, Mammalia, Rodentia, Cricetidae.